RNAcentral lists this ribosomal RNA (485 nucleotides) under uncultured bacterium. Its description in RNAcentral is "partial 16S ribosomal RNA". It matches the Rfam family "Bacterial small subunit ribosomal RNA", at positions 29 to 523 of the family's 1533-position model. The record is from RNAcentral.
AGUGAACGCUGGCGGCGUGCUUAACACAUGCAAGUCGAACGAGAACGGGAUAUAGCUUGCUAUAUUUGUCAGCUAAGUGGCGCACGGGUGAGUAAUGUAUAGAUAACCUGCCCUUAAGAAAGGAAUAACAGUUGGAAACGACUGCUAAUGCCCUAUAUGCCUUUAAUACAUAAGUAUGCAAGGGAAACGCUUUAGUGCUUAGGGAUGGGUCUGUAUGGUAUCAGCUUGUUGGUGAGGUAAUGGCUCACCAAGGCUAUGACGCCUAACUGGUUUGAGGGGAUGAUCAGUCACACUGGAACUGAGACACGGUCCAGACUCCUACGGGAGGCAGCAGUGGGGAAUAUUGCACAAUGGACGAAAGUCUGAUGCAGCAACGCCGCGUGGAGGAUGACACAUUUCGGUGCGUAAACUCCUUUUAUAUAGGAAGAUAAUGACGGUACUAUAUGAAUAAGCACCGGCUAACUCCGUGCCAGCAGCCGCAGUAA